This 253-nucleotide ribosomal RNA is filed under the name uncultured bacterium. RNAcentral's name for it is "partial 16S ribosomal RNA". It matches the Rfam family "Bacterial small subunit ribosomal RNA", at positions 524 to 776 of the family's 1533-position model. The record is from RNAcentral.
CACGGGGGGGGUAAGCGUUGUUCGGAAUUACUGGGCGUAAAGGGCUCGUAGGCGGCCAACUAAGUCAGACGUGAAAUCCCUCAGCUUAACUGGGGAACUGCGUCUGAUACUGGAUGGCUUGGAUUUGGGAGAGGGAUGCGGAAUUCCAGGUGUAGCGGUGAAAUGCGUAGAUAUCUGGAGGAACACCGGUGGCGAAGGCGGCAUCCUGGACCAAUAUUGACGCUGAGGAGCGAAAGCCAGGGGAGCAAGCAGG